UACGUAGGGAGCAAGCGUUGUCCGGAAUCAUUGGGCGUAAAGCGCGCGUAGGCGGCCCGGUAAGUCCGUUGUGAAAGUCAAAGGCUCAACCUUUGAAAGCCGAUGGAUACUGCAGGGCUAGAGUCCGGAAGAGGCGAGUGGAAUUCCUGGUGUAGCGGUGGAAUGCGCAGAUAUCAGGAGGAACACCAAUAGCGAAGGCAGCUCGCUGGGACGGUACUGACGCUAAGGCGCGAAAGCGUGGGGAGCGAACAGG
RNAcentral lists this ribosomal RNA (253 nucleotides) under uncultured bacterium. Its description in RNAcentral is "partial 16S ribosomal RNA". It matches the Rfam family "Bacterial small subunit ribosomal RNA", at positions 524 to 776 of the family's 1533-position model. The record is from RNAcentral.